Molecule: long non-coding RNA, 1052 nt
Filed under: Brassica napus (rape)
Lineage: Eukaryota; Viridiplantae; Streptophyta; Magnoliopsida; Brassicales; Brassicaceae
Description: long non-coding RNA (BNAP_LNC002295)
Source: RNAcentral
CCCGAGUUCUUUUCUACACUCUUCGUCUUCUUCAAUUGAAUCCAAUGAUCAGCGUGUGGUGGCUCCUUUAGCACCACCGCAGGUCUAGUUUGCUUUCUUUAAUUUUCUAUUGUUUAUCUUGUGUUUUGGUCAAAUUUUAGAUGCGGAUUGAACGAGAAGAUACAAAUCUAAGAAUUCAUCUCUGGUCAUGCUUGUCAAGGUGAUCAUGGGCUGCAUGGUUGGUGUCCAUCAUCGGUGAAUCGCAAUUGUGUCUACUGAAUUCACGCUCCUGAUAUUCCUCCGUUCGAUUUGAGAGGUAGAAGUGAAGGAUUCAUGUUUCGUCGUGGCCUUGCGGUGGUCUGGAGCCGGUGAAGUGUGUCGAUCUCUUCUGCCCAUGAGUUUCUCAUGUUUGCGGUCCCUUCCUCUUAUUUUGUUUUUCAUGGUUUUAGUUUGUCGUAUGGUGUAGUUGAUGGUUUGAACCCUUUCUAUUUUUGAUUAGAGGAGAGAUAAUUAUCUCUAGUCUCUAUUCAGUAAAGGUACGACAGUGGCGUGAUGGCGCGUUUUUGAGCAGAACAAGAUUAGCACUUGGUUGAGAAGAAAUUGUAUUUUGCCACCUCGCCAUUUUCAGUCGCGAAAGAGUCUUCGCCGCAUUUUUUGAUAAGAGUUAUUCCUAUUCCUGGUGUGUUCGCUGAUCUCAUAAGUCCUCAGUGGUUUCCUUUUGAUACUUAGAAGCAAUAUAAUGAGAUUGAGGUUUUGGUUCAAUCGGAUGAAAAUGCGGUUGUGUUGGAGGGUUUAGACCAAGUGUUUCGGUUCUUUGUGGUUCAUGUUAGUGUGGUCGGUGUUGUGGAGGUUGUGUUAUUCUGCGUGUUCUGGCUCUUCGUCUUGGACAGAAGGGUUCAGGUGAGUUUUUGGAUUAUACGCCUCUCUGCUUGCUCUCUUGGCUGGUGGUGUAGCAUUGUGAACCAUCCGGUUGAUUUAGACUUGGGACUAUGUUAUCUUUGAUCGGAUGUUGCAUUAUUUGGGUUGUAACUUUUUUCUGAUGGGUUUUAUUUCCGGGGAUUUUAACGUGUUUU